Molecule: ribosomal RNA, 253 nt
Filed under: uncultured bacterium
Lineage: Bacteria
Description: partial 16S ribosomal RNA
Rfam family: Bacterial small subunit ribosomal RNA
Source: RNAcentral
UACGUAGGGCGCAAGCGUUAUCCGGAAUUAUUGGGCGUAAAGAGCUCGUAGGCGGUUUGUCGCGUCUGCUGUGAAAUCCCGAGGCUCAACCUCGGGCUUGCAGUGGGUACGGGCAGACUAGAGUGCGGUAGGGGAGACUGGAAUUCCUGGUGUAGCGGUGGAAUGCGCAGAUAUCAGGAGGAACACCGAUGGCGAAGGCAGGUCUCUGGGCCGCAACUGACGCUGAGGAGCGAAAGCAUGGGGAGCGAACAGG